UACGUAGGUGGCGAGCGUUAUCCGGAAUUAUUGGGCGUAAAGAGCGCGCAGGUGGUUGAUUAAGUCUGAUGUGAAAGCCCACGGCUUAACCGUGGAGGGUCAUUGGAAACUGGUCGACUUGAGUGCAGAAGAGGGAAGUGGAAUUCCAUGUGUAGCGGUGAAAUGCGUAGAGAUAUGGAGGAACACCAGUGGCGGAGGCGGCUUCCUGGUCUGUAACUGACACUGAGGCGCGAAAGCGUGGGGAGCAAACAGGAUUAGAUA
Molecule: ribosomal RNA, 261 nt
Filed under: uncultured prokaryote
Description: partial 16S ribosomal RNA
Rfam family: Bacterial small subunit ribosomal RNA
Source: RNAcentral